CGCGUAGGCGGCCCUGCAAGUCCGACGUGAAAUCCCUCGGCUCAACCGGGGACCCGCGUCGGAAACUGCAGGGCUUGAGUGCAGGAGAGGAGAGCGGAAUUCCCAGUGUAGCGGUGAAAUGCGUAGAUAUUGGGAGGAACACCGGUGGCGAAGGCGGCUCUCUGGACUGCUACUGACGCUGAGGCGCGAAAGCUAGGGGAGCAAACGGGAUUAGAUACCCCGGUAGUCCUAGCCGUAAACGUUGGGCACUAGGUGUGGGAGGUAUCGACCCCUUCCGUGCCGCAGCUAACGCAUUAAGUGCCCCGCCUGGGGAGUACGGCCGCAAGGUUGAA
Molecule: ribosomal RNA, 332 nt
Filed under: uncultured bacterium
Lineage: Bacteria
Description: bacterial SSU rRNA
Rfam family: Bacterial small subunit ribosomal RNA
Source: RNAcentral